This is a non-coding RNA of Chelonoidis abingdonii (Abingdon island giant tortoise), 1444 nucleotides long. Lineage: Eukaryota; Metazoa; Chordata; Testudines; Testudinidae. The record is from RefSeq and is a predicted model, not a curated record.
CAGGAGUGAGGCCUUGCUGAACAUUAAGCACGUGAGUGGUCCUAUUAAAACCAAAGGCACUGAUCCGGCAGACACUGGUGUUGAGACUUAAUUUUACUUCAGUAAGCCCACUGAUUUCAAUGGGGCUAGUAGAGGUAAUAUUACGAAGCAUUUGCUUAAGUGUCUGUAGGAUCAGGGCCAAAGAGACUACACACAUGCUUAGAAAGUUAAUCCCAUGUUUAUGUGCUUUGCUGGAGCGAUGACUUGAUCACAACACUGAGACUUAUUGGUAGUUGAUUUUUGAAUGACGCCAUUCACAGACUGAAAAUAAAUUCUGGGGAGAAAUGGCAGAACUUUUUGCUGGACAUUCAUUGAGGCACACUUGGGAAAUGAUAACAGAUAACAUUGUUUACUUGCUGAACCCGUUACUUAGCAAACCAAAAAUGCUUAUUCAAACUUCGCUGGUGGGAUGGCUAUUUUUUAUUUAUACUGUAGCCUUUCAGCCUCCACCUCCCUCCUUGUUUAGCCAAUGUGGAGAGAAUGAAUAUACAUUUUUUCUUUGCUAAGGAAUGAGCAGCAAAUAGUCAGUUAUUUAUUACUUUACCUCUUGUCUGCAUUGCAGAGGAUGAACUGGUGACCCAGCUAUGCCGUACACUAUUUAUAUUCCUAGCAAUGUACUCUACAAAAUAUUUCCUUUUUCUAAUCUCUUCUUCAGUGAAAUUUACAAUAAGGCCAGCUGCCAUUUUAAAGUAUUUCACUUGUUAUUCCAAAAACAGCACCAUCCAGCCCCUGCUUUGUGAAAAUUAAAGGUUGCCAAUGUGUUCUCUGCUAUUUUUAAUACCUUGAUUGACUUAUUAAUAAAGAUAUAAAAAGCUUGUUCCUUCCUUCCACCCAUCAUUUGCCUGGCUGUUCUUUUACAGCUAGCAGGGCAAUGUCUGCUUUUUAAUCAAAUGGCAAAAGACAAUCAUGUUGUUAAAUAGUCUCAUUUGAAUGGAUCAAGGCUCUCCAGCCUUACCAUUGGGACUUGCAUAAAGACAGAAGCGGAUAAGGAAAGCAGAAGGUGUAAAUUUUCACAUACAGUUUUCUACUGCAAUAAGAGCAGAUUUUCACAAAACGAUGUCAAGUGGAAACAGAAUUACACACCCCUCUGGCUUAGACUCCUUUAGAUAGUCUAAACCAAUCUAUAUUUCACACAGAUGACAGAGCUGGCUCUGUGGUACUGCUGUAUGCUAUAGAAAGAGCAAUUAUUUUUCAUGUCUUCCAAGAUAUUUUGCAAUCACUCCCUUUAGUUUUCUAAAGCAUCAAGGAUCACUGAGAAACAACGCAGUAGUUACUGUCUUAAGCGUUCUGGCUUUCAAUUCGGAAUUUAAACAGCCCAUUUUUCCCCUGUGUGUUUCUAAGUAAGAACAGAAAGACAGGUCUGGAACUGACACAUUUACUUCACAAAAUCACACAUCAAUAGUUC